AACGAACGCUGGCGGCAUGCCUAAUACAUGCAAGUCGAACGAGAUCUUCGGAUCUAGUGGCGCACGGGUGCGUAACGCGUGGGAAUCUGCCCUUGGGUUCGGAAUAACUUCUGGAAACGGAAGCUAAUACCGGAUGAUGACGUAAGUCCAAAGAUUUAUCGCCCAAGGAUGAGCCCGCGUAGGAUUAGCUAGUUGGUGGGGUAAAGGCCCACCAAGGCGACGAUCCUUAGCUGGUCUGAGAGGAUGAUCAGCCACACUGGGACUGAGACACGGCCCAGACUCCUACGGGAAGCAGCAGUAGGGAAUAUUGGACAAUGGGCGAAAGCCUGAUCCAGCAAUGCCGCGUGAGUGAUGAAGGCCUUAGGGUUGUAAAGCUCUUUUACCCGGGAUGAUAAUGACAGUACCGGGAGAAUAAGCUCCGGCUAACUCCGUG
This 433-nucleotide ribosomal RNA is filed under the name uncultured bacterium. RNAcentral describes it as "partial 16S ribosomal RNA". It matches the Rfam family "Bacterial small subunit ribosomal RNA", at positions 29 to 507 of the family's 1533-position model. The record is from RNAcentral.